GAAAAGUAAAGACAUUGGUUCACCGAGAGGAUGUUCCGCAUGGAGACAUCAUUGGGAGUUUUUGACUUGUUUGCUCUUUUACAGGACUAGAGAUUCGGCCCUUCCUCUAUCUGUUGUAGCUGGUUUCAGAUUGAUGCUGGAAGAUAUGGAAAUGCAGCACUGAAGCAACCUACGAAAAAGUCUCAAGCCGGAGGUUGUGGCUCCGACGAGAAUCCUCCGACACUCA
RNAcentral lists this long non-coding RNA (226 nucleotides) under Elaeis guineensis (African oil palm). RNAcentral's name for it is "long non-coding RNA (EGUI_LNC031923)". Lineage: Eukaryota; Viridiplantae; Streptophyta; Magnoliopsida; Arecales; Arecaceae. The record is from RNAcentral.